GGUUUAGGCGUUCAGACAAAGACAAUGGACUUGCACAUGGAUUUAAUAGGGAAGUAGCAUAAUCAUAGUAUUAUACAAAACAGAUACGGAACAGAUAUGUAGUACAACUACAUAGGUCUGUGUCCCAAGAAAGAUAACUCAAUUCUUACAAUGAUAAAGUAGGAUAUUACAUUCCUCCCUUUGUUGAAUUUAUGAAUCUAUAAUAAGAUAAAUUUCAAAAGAGAAUUAUAAAAUUUAAAAAUAAAG
RNAcentral lists this long non-coding RNA (246 nucleotides) under Mytilus galloprovincialis (Mediterranean mussel). The record is from RNAcentral. Lineage: Eukaryota; Metazoa; Mollusca; Bivalvia; Mytilida; Mytilidae.